Molecule: ribosomal RNA, 257 nt
Filed under: uncultured bacterium
Lineage: Bacteria
Description: partial 16S ribosomal RNA
Rfam family: Bacterial small subunit ribosomal RNA
Source: RNAcentral
GACGAACCGUGCGAACGUUUAUUCGGAUUCACUGGGCUUAAAGGGCUCGUAGGCGGUUUUGUCGCGUCGGGAGUGAAAUCCACUGGCUUAACUGGUGGCUUGCUUUCGAUACGGGCAGACUGGAGGUAUGCAGGGGGAGAACGGAAUUCCUGGUGUAGCGGUGAAAUGCGCAGAUAUCAGGAGGAACACCGGUGGCGAAGGCGGUUCUCUGGGCAUGGUCCUGACGCUGGAGGAGCGAAAGUGUGGGGAGCGAACGG